This is a long non-coding RNA of Notolabrus celidotus (New Zealand spotty), 1703 nucleotides long. RefSeq lists it as uncharacterized. The record is from RefSeq and is a predicted model, not a curated record. The transcript is spliced from 2 exons. NCBI's taxonomy places the organism in Eukaryota, Metazoa, Chordata, Actinopteri, Labriformes, Labridae.
UGUGCCUUUUUGUUCUUUGAUGAUUCAAAUCUUAUUUUUCUGCCCACCAUUUUUCCCACUGUGACAGUCAAAGAAAAAGAUUACCUCCACUACAUCAGUAUUUAAGUUAAGAUCCUCUAAAUCUGCUUCACCACUGUACCUGCAUGGGGACAUGAAAGGCCCAGGCUCCUCCACAGUCACUAAGCUGCUCAGGCUGCCUGUCAGGCUGCUGCCCCGGCUCACUAAAGCGUCCCGCUCCUCCAUCAGCCAACGCAUGGCCUCGAUCCCUUCAUGCACAGCCACCAGCUGCCUCAGGAUCCUCACAUCAGCAGAACGCAGCCACUUCUGCAGAAGAAGAGCAGAGUUAAUGCAGCUGUGAAUAUGGGAAUUGAUAUGAGUGAGCACUCCAGGUGGAUUUUCACUUUCACCCUGUCACAGAACUAAUUUCUCCCAAACUAAGGUCCUUAUUUGUGUUUACAUUUGCAAACACAUCCCAGAGAAGAAAGAAGAGCAUUAUAAAUGAAAGGAAUGAGGGAGGGUGAGAGAGGAGUGGGUUGAAAGAGGAUGAGCAGAGGAAUUCAGACAGAAUGUGUGAAAUGAAUUGAGGUGAGAGAGAGGGAGGCCAGGUAAGGGGUGUAGUGGAGACACAGGUGACAGUGGCUGUCAUUAGACAUUAAAAUAAGCAGGUUAAGUCGUUCGGAACGGAACUUGGUGCUUUGACAUUUGUGCAGCUCACUGAAAGCCUGUCAUAAGAAUAAACAUAGCAGUGAUUGAUGAAACAAGUCGUGCAAGUUUGUGGCCAAAUAUGGAAAGUUGCACAGAAAUUUAAGCGCACAUUCAAGAGCACCAAAAACAGUUCAAAGUAGCAGAAAGGGACAUGUAGAAACAUCCAAACCGUGCCAAGAACACUAAGAAUUCAUGUCUGGGGAUACGUACCAUUUCUUGUUUCAAGUUGUUGAUCUUUUCAGAAAAAUUAUCACUGAGGAUAAUUCUGCUCUCACUUCUAUCCACCUCAUCAGACCUCCAGCCAUCUUCACGAUCCGCAGCAUCCCUCAUCCACAUCAAAAGACUUUCUGGUGUUUUCCUGCCAACCUUAUUUUCCAGCUCUUUAAGAUCUGGGAGGGAAUCGUUGAGUAUUUCCUCCGCCAUCCCACCGCGCAGAGAUUACUGCCCAGCGCACAGAUCUGUGGCUCUGGAUGGAAAAGAGCUCGUGCGUAAAGCCACUUUAGAAGUUGGACUCCAGUUGGAAAACCACACAGCUGUAAAUCUCCCUCUCUUGUCGACUUACAGUGGAGCACAAGCGUUAUAUUCCUGAACACGCCACAAUAAAACAUGAUCAUGAGUGGAAAACCUGCCGCAGAAGCGCAGCGUGAGCCAUGAAACCGCUGGAAGUGUGAGCGAGCAUAUCACCUGUCAGAGGUAUUCACUGCUGGUAUGUAGCCCAGAGCGGGAUGCUGGAAAGUGGAGGUGCUAUUUGUUUAGCCCUCAAACAAUAGAUGGAUGUUUCAUAACACAGGUCACAUGAAGAGGCUUCACCUUUAAGCAGAGUUAUUGAGAAUGCGCAGUAUUUUCUGAAUCCGUGGAACCAUGUGAUGACUUUGUCUUUAUUACUUUGACUUUGGUUGAGUCCCAUCAAAACAGUGUCCGGGGGUUGAACUUAAUACACUUAGAUUUCACUUCAUUAAAAACAAACAAAAAAAUCAUCCAGAUAAUAAAGUAAUAAA